UACGGAGGGUGCAAGCGUUAUCCGGAUUCACUGGGUUUAAAGGGUGCGUAGGUGGGUUGAUAAGUCAGUGGUGAAAUCCCCAGGCUUAACCUGGGAACUGCGUCUGAUACUGGAUGGCUUGAAUUCGGGAGAGGGAUGCAGAAUUCCAGGUGUAGCGGUGAAAUGCGUAGAUAUCUGGAGGAACACCGGUGGCGAAGGCGGCAUCCUGGACCGACACUGACGCUGAGGCGCGAAAGCCAGGGGAGCAAACGGG
This 253-nucleotide ribosomal RNA is filed under the name uncultured bacterium. RNAcentral's name for it is "partial 16S ribosomal RNA". It matches the Rfam family "Bacterial small subunit ribosomal RNA", at positions 524 to 776 of the family's 1533-position model. The record is from RNAcentral.